Molecule: ribosomal RNA, 598 nt
Filed under: uncultured bacterium
Lineage: Bacteria
Description: bacterial SSU rRNA
Rfam family: Bacterial small subunit ribosomal RNA
Source: RNAcentral
CUGCGGCGGCCUAAUCAUGCCAGUCGUAACGGGUAACCACAAUGCUUGAGAGUGGCGAACGGGUGAGUAAUAUAUCGGAACGUGCCCAGUCGUGGGGGAUAACGUAGAGAAAUUUACGCUAAUACCGCAUACGAUCUAAGGAUGAAAGCGGGGGACUCGCAAGAGCCUCGCGCGAUUGGAGCGGCUGAUAUCAGAUUAGGUUGUUGGUGAGGUAAAAGCUCACCAAGCCGACGAUCUGUAGCUGGUUUGAGAGAACGACCAGCCACACUGGGACUGAGACACGGCCCAGACUCCUACGGGAGGCAGCAGUGGGGAAUUUUGGACAAUGGGCGAAAGCCUGAUCCAGCAAUGCCGCGUGUGGGAAGAAGGCCUUCGGGUUGUAAACCACUUUUGUACGGAACGAAACGGUCUGCCUUAAUACGGUGGGCUAAUGACGGUACCGUAAGAAUAACCACCGGCUAACUACGUGCCAGCAGCCGCGGUAAUACGUAGGGUGCGAGCGUUAAUCGGAAUUACUGGGCGUAAAGCGUGCGCAGGCGGUUAUAUAAUACAGUUGUGAAAUCCCCGGGCUCGACCUGGGAAUUGCAUCUGUGACUGU